GGGUCGUGAAGACUCUAUCAGUUAGUAUUUGUUCUCGAAAGGGCUAUGAUUAAUAUUGAAUAAUCAGACAUAGUACGCUAAGGUUGUAUGUCUAAAGGGAAACAGCCCAGAACAAGUGUUAAUAAGGUUCCAAAAUUAUUAUUAAGUGAAACAAAGGUAGUUUAUGUCUUAAACGUCCAGGAAAUAGGCUUAGAAGCGGCCAUUUUUUAAAGACCUCGUAACAGAGCACUGGUUUAAUCUAAUUUAUAUAAAAUAUUGAUACAGCUGUAAGUGUAUUAAAUAUAAUUUAGAUCGAUAAAAGCACCGACGAUUCAACGGAUCUAAAUAAUAUACCGAAACCUUGUCCAUAUAUAUCUAUAUAUACUUGAAGAAAAAUAAAAAAAACAGAAAAAAACAGAAAAAAACAGAAAAAGAUCUUUGUGAGUUAUAUAUAAUAUAAUGGGGUAGCGGAACAUUGGGCAAACCACACCUUUUUUUUAUAAAAAAACUUUAGGUACCCCAAGUGAUAAUGCUGACAUGAGUAACGAUAAAGGGAAAAAAAAAUCCCUCGCCUAAAGCUUAUGGCAUUUAGUUAAAGUAACGGCCUCUAAGUUUAUAUAUAAAACUUAUAUACACUAGAUAUCUAGUAUAUAAGUUAACCUAAGGGAUUAAACGAUGAGCAAACCUAUAGAGGUACAAAUAAAUAACAUUUAUAUACAGUUAUAAGAAUAAAACUUAAGAAAAAGAAAUAACAUUUAUAUACAGUUAUGAUGAGGACGAUAGAAAAAUAAAUAACAUUUAUAUACAGUUAUAAGAAUAAAACUUAAGAAAAAGAGAUAAUUGUGUUAAAGUGAUAAAUGUUCUGGAAAAUAGUAUCUAGAUAUAUAAUUAUUUAUAUGAGUAGUAUAAAGAAAAUAUAGAUUUUAACAAUACCGUACCUAAAAACUACCACAAGUAAGCAAGUAGAG
RNAcentral lists this ribosomal RNA (947 nucleotides) under Oxneria fallax. RNAcentral describes it as "Xanthomendoza fallax partial 23S ribosomal RNA". The stretch from base 1 to 364 matches the Rfam family "Bacterial large subunit ribosomal RNA", at positions 922 to 1226 of the family's 2925-position model. Lineage: Eukaryota; Fungi; Ascomycota; Lecanoromycetes; Teloschistales; Teloschistaceae. The record is from RNAcentral.